This 497-nucleotide ribosomal RNA is filed under the name uncultured bacterium. Its description in RNAcentral is "partial 16S ribosomal RNA". It matches the Rfam family "Bacterial small subunit ribosomal RNA", at positions 28 to 507 of the family's 1533-position model. The record is from RNAcentral.
GAUGAACGCUGGCGGCGUGCCUAAUACACGCAAGUCGAGCGAACGGACGAGAAGCUUGCUUUUCUGAUGUUAGCGGCGGACGGGUGAGUAACACGUGGAUAACCUACCUAUAAGACUGGGAUAACUUCGGGAAACCGGAGCUAAUACCGGAUAAUAUUUUGAACCGCAUGGUUCAAAAGUGAAAGACGGUCUUGCUGUCACUUAUAGAUGGAUCCGCGCUGCAUUAGCUAGUUGGUAAGGUAACGGCUUACCAAGGCGACGAUGCAUAGCCGACCUGAGAGGGUGAUCGGCCACACUGGGACUGAGACACGGUCCAGACUCCUACGGGAGGCAGCAGUAGGGAAUCUUCCGCAAUGGGCGAAAGCCUGACGGAGCAACGCCGCGUGAGUGAUGAAGGUCUUCGGAUCGUAAAACUCUGUUAUUAGGGAAGAACAUAUGUGUAAGUAACUGUGCACAUCUUGACGGUACCUAAUCAGAAAGCCACGGCUAACUACGUG